UCUGCUCGUCGGUGGCCUCGAGUCGCCUCCCUACUCGCCGCCGCUCUCCCCGUGCGCCUCUCCGCCCUACUCGCCGCCGCUCUCGCCCAGCGCUUCGCCGCCCGCCUCGCCGCGCACCACCGGCCGCGCAGAACAGCGCUCGCGCAAGACCGGCGACAAGUCCACCACCACCACCACCUCCUCCUCCUCCUCCAGCGGCAGCUCGUCGUCGGUGCG
This 216-nucleotide non-coding RNA is filed under the name uncultured Mamiellales. Lineage: Eukaryota; Viridiplantae; Chlorophyta; Mamiellophyceae; Mamiellales. The record is from RNAcentral.